GCAAGCGUGGCGGAUAAAGUUGGCAAGCCUAAGCGUUCA
This 39-nucleotide transfer RNA is filed under the name Lotharella globosa. RNAcentral describes it as "partial Selenocysteine transfer RNA". The record is from RNAcentral. Lineage: Eukaryota; Cercozoa; Chlorarachniophyceae.